GAUGAACGCUGGCGGCGUGCCUAAUACAUGCAAGUCGAGCGAACAGACGAGGAGCUUGCUCCUCUGACGUUAGCGGCGGACGGGUGAGUAACACGUGGAUAACCUACCUAUAAGACUGGGAUAACUUCGGGAAACCGGAGCUAAUACCGGAUAAUAUAUUGAACCGCAUGGUUCAAUAGUUAAAGACGGUUUUGCUGUCACUUAUAGAUGGAUCCGCGCCGCAUUAGCUAGUUGGUAAGGUAAAGGCUUACCAAGGCGACGAUGCGUAGCCGACCUGAGAGGGUGAUCGGCCACACUGGAACUGAGACACGGUCCAGACUCCUACGGGAGGCAGCAGUAGGGAAUCUUCCGCAAUGGGCGAAAGCCUGACGGAGCAACGCCGCGUGAGUGAUGAAGGUCUUCGGAUCGUAAAACUCUGUUGUUAGGGAAGAACAAAUGUGUAAGUACCUAAGAACGACUAGACGGUACCUAAUCAGAAAGCCACGGCUAACUACGUG
RNAcentral lists this ribosomal RNA (497 nucleotides) under uncultured bacterium. Its description in RNAcentral is "partial 16S ribosomal RNA". It matches the Rfam family "Bacterial small subunit ribosomal RNA", at positions 28 to 507 of the family's 1533-position model. The record is from RNAcentral.